UGGUGGCGACCGGCGCACGGGUGAGUAACGCGUAUGCAACCCAUCUAUCAGAGGGGAAUAACCCGGCGAAAGUCGGACUAAUACCGCAUAAAACAGGGACACCGCAUGGUGAUAUUUGUUAAAGAAAUUCGCUGAUAGAUGGGCAUGCGUUCCAUUAGGUAGUUGGUGAGGUAACGGCUCACCAAGCCGACGAUGGAUAGGGGAACUGAGAGGUUGGUCCCCCACACUGGUACUGAGACACGGACCAGACUCCUACGGGAGGCAGCAGUGAGGAAUAUUGGUCAAUGGGCGAGAGCCUGAACCAGCCAAGUCGCGUGAAGGAAGAAGGAUCUAUGGUUCGUAAACUUCUUUUGCAGGGGAAUAAAGUGCAGGACGUGUCCUGUUUUGUAUGUACCCUGAGAAUAAGGAUCGGCUAACUCCGUGCCAGCAGCCGCGGUAAUACGGGGGAUCCGAGCGUUAUCCGGAUUUAUUGGGUUUAAAGGGUGCGUAGGUGGUUUGAUAAGUCAGCGGUGAAAGUUUGCAGCUUAACUGUAAAAAUGCCGUUGAAACUGUCGGACUUGAGUGUAAAUGAGGUAGGCGGAAUGCGUGGUGUAGCGGUGAAAUGCUUAGAUAUCACGAAGAACUCCGAUUG
Molecule: ribosomal RNA, 631 nt
Filed under: uncultured Bacteroidales bacterium
Lineage: Bacteria; Pseudomonadati; Bacteroidota; Bacteroidia; Bacteroidales
Description: bacterial SSU rRNA
Rfam family: Bacterial small subunit ribosomal RNA
Source: RNAcentral